CGGAAGUGGAAGGUACUGGAGCUGUUGUUUCUCUGCAUGUGGUGAAGGAGUAUUUUGUGGAUCCAAAGUAGACAGGGCAUAAGCAGAAAAUGCAGGUGACCCCAGCAGCCGCUGAGCCGGCCUGGAUUCGGGCAAAGAAAGCAGCGUCCUCCUGGUGCAAACAGACACAGCCACAAGUGCAAGACACGCAGUCUAGAAAGUCCGGAAGACAGGUCUCACUCUGUCGCCCAGACUGGAGUGCAGUGGUGCGAUUUCGGCUCACCGCAACCUCCGCCUCCUGGGAUCAAGCGAUUCUCCUGCCUCGGCCUCUCAAGUAUCUGGGAUUACAGGCACAUGCCACUAACACCUGGGUAUUUUUUGUAUUUUUAGUAGAGAUGGGGUUUCGCCAUGUUGGCCAGGCUGGUCUUGAACUCCUGACCUCAAAAGAUCCACCCGUCUCGGCCUCCCAAAGUGCUGGGAUUACAGGUGUGAGCCACUGCUCCCAGCCUGUUUUUGCAUAUUCUUCAACUUACACAUUGCAUGUGCUGUUCCAAAACAAGAUGAAGGCCUUGGUUCUGCUUAUUUCCCCGAGUUGUUUCCUUUAGUUCAUUAAUUAAUUAAUAUCUAAACGGACAAAUAAGUAUUGUAGAUACUUGUGGUGUACAACAUGAGUUUUGAAAUCUGUAUACAUUGGGGAAUGGCUACAUCCAGCUAAUUAACAUAUGAAUUAGCUCACUGUUUUGUGAUGAGAACACAUCACAAAAGCAAGUAGAUACUCGCUUGGCAAUUUUCAAGUAUAUAAUACAUUGUUAUUUACUGUAGUCUCCAUGUUGUACAACCCAGCUCUUGAACUCGUGCCUCCUGUCUAACUGAAACUUUGUAUCUUUUGACCUACAUCUCCCAAGCCCCCAGGCCCUGGGAGCCACCAUUCUAUCUCUGCGGCUAUAAGUUUAACCCUUUCAGCUCGCCCAUGUGAGAUCAUGUGGUGCCUGUCUACGUGUGCCUGGUUUGCUUCGCUCAGCACAAUGUCUUCAAGGUUCAUCCAUGUUGUCACAGAUGAUGGGAGGAAAGUACCCAUCGUGACUUUGAUCUUGGUCCUUCCUGGCAUUUCUUUAUAUUUUUACUAUAUAUGUAUAUAAAAAUACUACUUUUACCCCAAAACUAUCCUUUGAAAGGCUAGGAACUGAGACAGGAAUCUGGGUCGACCUGUGGGUGAGAGGAGCCAUCGAGUUGGGUGAAAUGGUUCCUGCCGCCCCCCAGCUCUGUCCCUCACCUCAUGCGUGCCCCCUGCACUGUUGCAGUCAUCAGCUUAAUAGUCUAGCAGGCACUGCUUUCUUGGGUGCUACUGCAUGUGGUGAAGGAGCAUUUUGUGGAUCUAAAGUAGACAGGGCAUAAGCAGAAAAUGCAGGUGGCCCCAGCAGCCACUGAACCGGCCUGGAUUCGGGUGAAGAAAGCAGCGCUCUCCUGGUGUAAACAGACACAGCCUCAAGUGCAAGGCACGCAGCUUGGAAAGUCAGGAAGGCAAAACAAGAUAUUUUUAAAAAUAUAUCUUGGGAGGGAUAUUUAAGACACAAUUAUGGGCCGGGAGGGGUGGCUCAUGCCUGUAAUCCCAGCACUUUGGGAGGCCGAGGCAGGCGGACCACCUGAGAUGCUGUACUUCGGAUUCUAGAAUUAGGAGAAUUUGACCAGCUUAAUAAGUGUCCAAAUAAGUGAUUUCUACUCCCACUUCCUUGACAUGCAAUUGCCGAAUAAACAAACCCACAAAGGCAAGGCAGCAAUGUGUAUUCUGAAACCAGGUUUUUAAGGCCUGAUUUGGAGUUGUCUUCCUAUUGAACCCCAGCUCUUGGGUUCAAAGUCGAUGAUCAUUUGUACGAAUGCCAUGGUAUAUUUAAGUGAGUGGUUACAGCUGUUUCAGUUUCUUCCUCGCCAGUGUUUGGGGAUCAGUGAGUGGGCCAAGCCAGGACUCACCCCCUGCAAGUUCACAGAGGCCUCAAACUCUGACAAGAAGAAGUUUCCAUCUUAAAGACUGACAGGUAUACCUAGAGAUUGAAAAUUAACAUCCAGAAUAUUGCUUUCCCAAACAUUAUAUGUUUAUUUAAGACUCUGAAUGCUAUGUUGGCUCUAGCCUUGAAUCUCUGCACAUUUCAAGGGAGUCUGUACUUCGUGAUUACUAAAACAUAUGGAAAUUAUACAAAUCCAACAUGAAAGGCAUUCUUUUUCUUUUUAAAGGGACUGCUUCUAUAUUCCACAUUUCAAAAACCUCACCUAGGUUAGAAAUGUAGGUAUGUCCUUCACUGAUGAGGUUUGGAAACAUUUUGAAAUCUCAUUUUUAAACAAUAAAGAAAUAUUUUUAUGACACUUUAAAAAUUUUUACUUCUAAUUGUUCGUUAUGUCACUAAUGUGUCAUUCGUUUGGCUAUAGUAGUUGGAUUUU
Long non-coding RNA from Pan troglodytes (chimpanzee), 2412 nucleotides. RefSeq lists it as uncharacterized. The record is from RefSeq and is a predicted model, not a curated record. Lineage: Eukaryota; Metazoa; Chordata; Mammalia; Primates; Hominidae. The transcript has 3 exons.